UGGGGAAUAUUGGACAAUGGGCGAAAGCCUGAUCCAGCCAUGCCGCGUGAGUGAUGAAGGCCCUAGGGUUGUAAAGCUCUUUCACCGGUGAAGAUAAUGACGGUAGCCGGAGAAGAAGCCCCGGCUAACUUCGUGCCAGCAGCCGCGGUAAUACGAAGGGGGCUAGCGUUGUUCGGAAUUACUGGGCGUAAAGCGCACGUAGGCGGAUUGUUAAGUCGGGGGUGAAAUCCCGGGGCUCAACCCCGGAACUGCCUUCGAUACUGGCAAUCUAGAGUCCGGAAGAGGUGAGUGGAAUUCCGAGUGUAGAGGUGAAAUUCGUAGAUAUUCGGAGGAACACCAGUGGCGAAGGCGGCUCACUGGUCCGGUACUGGCGCUGAGGUGCGAAAGCGUGGGGAGCAAACA
RNAcentral lists this ribosomal RNA (402 nucleotides) under uncultured bacterium. Its description in RNAcentral is "bacterial SSU rRNA". It matches the Rfam family "Bacterial small subunit ribosomal RNA", at positions 355 to 774 of the family's 1533-position model. The record is from RNAcentral.